This 68-nucleotide transfer RNA is filed under the name Syntrophomonas sp. RNAcentral's name for it is "tRNA-Arg". It matches the Rfam family "tRNA", at positions 10 to 71 of the family's 71-position model. Rfam says of the family: Transfer RNA (tRNA) molecules are approximately 80 nucleotides in length. Their secondary structure includes four short double-helical elements and three loops (D, anti-codon, and T loops). Lineage: Bacteria; Bacillati; Bacillota; Clostridia; Eubacteriales; Syntrophomonadaceae. The record is from RNAcentral.
GCUCAGCUGGAUAGAGCAACGGACUUCUAAUCCGUAGGUCGGGGGUUCGAAUCCCUCCGGGGACGCCA